Molecule: ribosomal RNA, 796 nt
Filed under: Chaetomium apiculatum
Lineage: Eukaryota; Fungi; Ascomycota; Sordariomycetes; Sordariales; Chaetomiaceae
Description: eukaryotic LSU rRNA
Rfam family: Eukaryotic large subunit ribosomal RNA
Source: RNAcentral
GUGAAGCGGCAACAGCUCAAAUUUGAAAUCUGGCUUCGGCCCGAGUUGUAAUUUGUAGAGGAUGCUUUAGGCGCGGCUCCUUCUGAGUGCCCUGGAACGGGACGCCACAGAGGGUGAGAGCCCCGUAUAGUUGGAAGCCUAGCCUGUGUAAAGCUCCUUCGACGAGUCGAGUAGUUUGGGAAUGCUGCUCAAAAUGGGAGGUAAAUUUCUUCUAAAGCUAAAUACCGGCCAGAGACCGAUAGCGCACAAGUAGAGUGAUCGAAAGAUGAAAAGCACUUUGAAAAGAGGGUUAAAUAGCACGUGAAAUUGUUGAAAGGGAAGCGCUUGUGACCAGACUUGCGCCGGGCUGAUCAUCCGGAGUUCUCUCCGGUGCACUCUGCCCGGCUCAGGCCAGCAUCGGUUCUCGCGGGGGGAUAAAGGCCUCGGGAACGUAGCUCCUCCGGGAGUGUUAUAGCCCGGGGCGUAAUGCCCUCGCGGGGACCGAGGUUCGCGCAUCUGCAAGGAUGCUGGCGUAAUGGUCAUCAGCGACCCGUCUUGAAACACGGACCAAGGAGUCAAGGUUUUGCGCGAGUGUUUGGGUGUAAAACCCGCACGCGUAAUGAAAGUGAACGUAGGUGAGAGCUUCGGCGCAUCAUCGACCGAUCCUGAUGUAUUCGGAUGGAUUUGAGUAGGAGCGUUAAGCCUUGGACCCGAAAGAUGGUGAACUAUGCUUGGAUAGGGUGAAGCCAGAGGAAACUCUGGUGGAGGCUCGCAGCGGUUCUGACGUGCAAAUCGAUCGUCAAAUCUGAGCAUGGGG